UCAGGCCUAACACAUGCAAGUCGAGCGGUAGCGGGAAGAGCUUGCUCUUUGCCGACGAGCGGCGGACGGGUGCGUAACACGUAGGAAUCUGCCUGGUAGUGGGGGAUAGCCCGGAGAAAUCCGGAUUAAUACCGCAUACGCCUUACGAGGGAAAGGAGGGGACUCUUCGGAGCCUUUCGCUAUCAGAUGAGCCUGCGUCGGAUUAGCUUGUUGGUGGGGUAAAGGCCUACCAAGGCGACGAUCCGUAGCUGGUCUGAGAGGAUGAUCAGCCACACUGGGACUGAGACACGGCCCAGACUCCCACGGGAGGCAGCAGUGGGGAAUAUUGCACAAUGGGCGAAAGCCUGAUGCAGCCAUGCCGCGUGUGUGAAGAAGGCCCUAGGGUUGUAAAGCACUUUCAGUGGGGAGGAAAGGUUGAAGGUUAAUACCCUUCAGCUGUGACGUUACCCACAGAAGAAGCACCGGCUAACUCCGUGCCAGCAGCCGCGGUAAUACGGAGGGUGCGAGCGUUAAUCGGAAUUACUGGGCGUAAAGCGUGCGUAGGCGGCCACCUAAGUUGGAUGUGAAAGCCCCGGGCUCAACCUGGGAACUGCAUCCAAAACUGGGUGGCUUGAGUACGGGAGAGGAGUGUGGGAAUUUCCUGUGUAGCGGUAAAAUGCGUAGAUAUAGGAAGGAACACCAGUGGCGAAGGCGACACUCU
RNAcentral lists this ribosomal RNA (700 nucleotides) under uncultured bacterium. RNAcentral's name for it is "bacterial SSU rRNA". It matches the Rfam family "Bacterial small subunit ribosomal RNA", at positions 42 to 730 of the family's 1533-position model. The record is from RNAcentral.